RNAcentral lists this ribosomal RNA (253 nucleotides) under uncultured bacterium. RNAcentral's name for it is "partial 16S ribosomal RNA". It matches the Rfam family "Bacterial small subunit ribosomal RNA", at positions 524 to 776 of the family's 1533-position model. The record is from RNAcentral.
UACGUAGGGUGCAAGCGUUAAUCGGAAUUACUGGGCGUAAAGCGUGCGCAGGCGGUGAUGUAAGACAGAUGUGAAAUCCCCGGGCUCAACCUGGGAACUGCAUUUGUGACUGCAUCGCUGGAGUACGGCAGAGGGGGAUGGAAUUCCGCGUGUAGCAGUGAAAUGCGUAGAUAUGCGGAGGAACACCGAUGGCGAAGGCAAUCCCCUGGGCCUGUACCGACGCUCAUGCACGAAAGCGUGGGGAGCAAACAGG